RNAcentral lists this transfer RNA (73 nucleotides) under Saccoloma inaequale. RNAcentral describes it as "tRNA-Arg". It matches the Rfam family "tRNA". From Rfam's summary of the family: Transfer RNA (tRNA) molecules are approximately 80 nucleotides in length. Their secondary structure includes four short double-helical elements and three loops (D, anti-codon, and T loops). Further hydrogen bonds mediate the characteristic L-shaped molecular structure. tRNAs have two regions of fundamental functional importance: the anti-codon, which is responsible for specific mRNA codon recognition, and the 3' end, to which the tRNAs corresponding amino acid is attached (by aminoacyl-tRNA synthetases). tRNAs cope with the degeneracy of the genetic code in two manners: having more than one tRNA (with a specific anti-codon) for a particular amino acid; and 'wobble' base-pairing, i.e. permitting non-standard base-pairing at the 3rd anti-codon position. Lineage: Eukaryota; Viridiplantae; Streptophyta; Polypodiopsida; Polypodiales; Saccolomataceae. The record is from RNAcentral.
AGGUUGGUUGCUCAGUCGGGGGAGCACAUGGUCUCUAACCACGGAUCUGGGGGUUCAAAUCCCUACCAAUUGA